Molecule: ribosomal RNA, 478 nt
Filed under: uncultured bacterium
Lineage: Bacteria
Description: partial 16S ribosomal RNA
Rfam family: Bacterial small subunit ribosomal RNA
Source: RNAcentral
GAUGAACGCUGGCGGCAGGCCUAACACAUGCAAGUCGAGCGAGAAGCCCUUUCGGGGGCCGGAACCGGCGCACGGGUGCGUGACGCGUAUGCAACCUACCUUUCACAGGGGGAUAGCCCGAAGAAAUUUGGAUUAAUACCCCAUAAUAUUAUUGGAUGGCAUCAUUUGAUAAUUAAAACUGCGGUGGUGCACGCUGGGCCUGCGUCCUAUUAGCUAGUUGGGGUGGUAACGGCACCCCAAGGCUACGAUAGGUAGGGUUCCUGAGAGGGAGAUCCCCCACACGGGUACUGAGACAGGGACCAGACUCCUACGGGAGGCAGCAGUGAGGAAGAUUGGUCAAUGGUCGGAAGACUGAACCAGCCAUGCCGCGUGCAGGAAGAAUGCCUUAUGGGUUGUAAACUGCUUUUAGAUGGGAAGAAUAAGGCGUACGUGUACGUUGAUGACGGUACCAGAUGAAUAAGCAUCGGCUAACUCCGUG